This 904-nucleotide long non-coding RNA is filed under the name Rattus norvegicus (Norway rat). Its description in RNAcentral is "long non-coding RNA NONRATT009121". Lineage: Eukaryota; Metazoa; Chordata; Mammalia; Rodentia; Muridae. The record is from RNAcentral.
UUAGAGAGGCCAAUGGCUUCCGUGUAUGGCCUUGCAGUCUUGCCCUCAAUGCCUGUCUCUUGACCUUGACACCCAUCCUCACCACAUCAUCUCUGACCUUGGCGCCCAUCCUCACUGAGGCCAAGCUCUCUUGACUCAGUCAUCAGUUCCAGCUAUGCUGUCGUCCAGAACCGUGAAUCCUUCCUGACAGGUCAAUGACACAGACCCAGCAGCAGAAAGGGAGACCUGUCUUUUGGUCUAUUGUCCCCUCUGUCCAUGAAGAACUGAAGAGAACUACACCAUCUUUGACAACAAGGUGGAAAUAACCAGGAGCAAGAGCCAAGACAAUCGGCCACACCAGCACCUUCAUCUGCAUCCGAGGAAGACAGCUGUUAGACAGCUACAGUUGCCUGCUCUGACCGAGAAGAAGGUGGCUGACCUCAGUACUCUGAACGAAGUGGGCUAUCAGAUCCGGAUCUAGCCAGGCAAGGCCAGCAAGGCUUCUAUGGUGCUCUUCUCUGCGCUUUACCCAGCAGCUUCAGGAGGAACUGCAACUUGUGGAGUUUUGAUUUUGAAGGAUUUACCUGGAGAUAGAAUCUGAGUGGGUUUUUGAAAAACUCACUGGUCAGCAGGCAUGACUGGGCUGAAGUGACGGACAAACCCCUGGGUUGACUGACUCCCUCACUCAGGAUCUCAAGAACAAUGUUACUGCAGUUUUCUAUUUUUCCAUUUGCCGACUUUCCGCUUGCUUUGGACAUUACGCCUCGGCUAUAGUAACCGUUUGUGGAGUCCCCUCCCACUUUUGGUACAGCAGGCAGCUCAGCCAGUACCGCCGUCUUCUCAGCAAUAACAAGCGAGGAUGGGUGGCUUCUUUAAACAGUUGAUAUUACCUCAGCGUUUGGCAUCAGAUAUGCAGUCUUAAUGA